RNAcentral lists this unclassified non-coding RNA (202 nucleotides) under soil metagenome. RNAcentral's name for it is "partial contains 5.8S ribosomal RNA, internal transcribed spacer 2, and large subunit ribosomal RNA". The record is from RNAcentral.
AACCUUAUGGACCUGCGGGCGUAUACCUGCGGAAGGAUCAUUAUCAAAACAGCGGCCUUCGGGCCUUGCUGCACCCUUGUCUUUUGCGCACCGUAUUGUUUCCUCGGCGGGCUUGCCUGCCGGUUGGACAUUAUCAAACCUUUUUGUAGUUGCAAUCAGCGUCAGAAAAACAAUAAUUAUUACAACUUUCAGCAAUGGAUCU